Molecule: ribosomal RNA, 516 nt
Filed under: Staphylococcus aureus
Lineage: Bacteria; Bacillati; Bacillota; Bacilli; Caryophanales; Staphylococcaceae
Description: bacterial LSU rRNA
Rfam family: Bacterial large subunit ribosomal RNA
Source: RNAcentral
AGAUUAAGUUAUUAAGGGCGCACGGUGGAUGCCUUGGCACUAGAAGCCGAUGAAGGACGUUACUAACGACGAUAUGCUUUGGGGAGCUGUAAGUAAGCUUUGAUCCAGAGAUUUCCGAAUGGGGAAACCCAGCAUGAGUUAUGUCAUGUUAUCGAUAUGUGAAUACAUAGCAUAUCAGAAGGCACACCCGGAGAACUGAAACAUCUUAGUACCCGGAGGAAGAGAAAGAAAAUUCGAUUCCCUUAGUAGCGGCGAGCGAAACGGGAAGAGCCCAAACCAACAAGCUUGCUUGUUGGGGUUGUAGGACACUCUAUACGGAGUUACAAAGGACGACAUUAGACGAAUCAUCUGGAAAGAUGAAUCAAAGAAGGUAAUAAUCCUGUAGUCGAAAAUGUUGUCUCUCUUGAGUGGAUCCUGAGUACGACGGAGCACGUGAAAUUCCGUCGGAAUCUGGGAGGACCAUCUCCUANAGGCUMAAUACUCUMUAKYGAMMGAUAGUGAACCAGUACCGUGAGG